UACAGAGGUGGCAAGCGUUGUUCGGAAUUACUGGGCGUAAAGGGCGCGUAGGCGGCCAUCUAAGUCAGACGUGAAAUCCCCCGGCUUAACCUGGGAACUGCGUCUGAUACUGGAUGGCUUGAGUGUGGGAGAGGGAUGCGGAAUUCCAGGUGUAGCGGUGAAAUGCGUAGAUAUCUGGAGGAACACCGGUGGCGAAGGCGGCAUCCUGGACCAUUACUGACACUGAAAAGCGAAAGCCAGGGGAGCAAACGGG
This 253-nucleotide ribosomal RNA is filed under the name uncultured bacterium. RNAcentral describes it as "partial 16S ribosomal RNA". It matches the Rfam family "Bacterial small subunit ribosomal RNA", at positions 524 to 776 of the family's 1533-position model. The record is from RNAcentral.